This 402-nucleotide ribosomal RNA is filed under the name uncultured bacterium. Its description in RNAcentral is "bacterial SSU rRNA". It matches the Rfam family "Bacterial small subunit ribosomal RNA", at positions 355 to 774 of the family's 1533-position model. The record is from RNAcentral.
UCGGGAAUUUUGGGCAAUGGGCGAAAGCCUGACCCAGCAACGCCGCGUGAGGGAUGAAGUAUUUCGGUAUGUAAACCUCGAAAGAAUGGGAAGAAUAAAUGACGGUACCAUUUAUAAGCUCCGGCUAACUACGUGCUAGCAGCCGCGGUAAUACGUAGGGAGCAAGCGUUGUUCGGAUUUACUGGGCGUAAAGGGCGCGUAGGCGGCGCGGUAAGUCACUUGUGAGAUCUCUGAGCUUAACUCAGAACGGCCAAGUGAUACUGCUGUGCUAGAGUGCGGAAGAGGCAACCGGAAUUCUUGGUGUAGCGGUGAAAUGCGUAGAUAUCAAGAGGAACACCUGAGGCGAAGGCGGGUUGCUGGGCCGACACUGACGCUGAUGCGCGAAAGCCAGGGGAGCAAACG